UUCUAUGGCCAUACCACCCUGAAUGUGCCUGAUCUUGGAAGCUAAGCAGGGUAGGGCCUGGUUAUACUUGGGUGGAAGAAAUAUUAGUUAAAUUGCCAUGGGAA
This 104-nucleotide ribosomal RNA is filed under the name Pan paniscus (pygmy chimpanzee). Lineage: Eukaryota; Metazoa; Chordata; Mammalia; Primates; Hominidae. The record is from RNAcentral.